Molecule: ribosomal RNA, 468 nt
Filed under: uncultured bacterium
Lineage: Bacteria
Description: partial 16S ribosomal RNA
Rfam family: Bacterial small subunit ribosomal RNA
Source: RNAcentral
GACGAACGCUGGCGGCGUGCUUAACACAUGCAAGUCGAACGGAAAGGCCCUGCUUUUGUGGGGUGCUCGAGUGGAGAACGGGUGAGUAACACGUGAGUAACCUGCCCUUGACUUUGGGAUAACUUCAGGAAACUGGGGCUAAUACCGGAUAGGAGCUCCUGCUGCAUGGUGGGGGUUGGAAAGUUUCGGCGGUUGGGGAUGGACUCGCGGCUUAUCAGCUUGUUGGUGGGGUAGUGGCUUACCAAGGCUUUGACGGGUAGCCGGCCGGAGAGGGUGACCGGCCACAUUGGGACUGGGAUACGGCCCAGACUCCUACGGGGGGCAGCAGUGGGGAAUAUUGCACAAUGGGCGGAAGCCUGAUGCAGCAACGCCGCGUGCGGGAUGACGGCCUUCGGGUUGUAAACCGCUUUCGCCUGUGACGAAGCGUGAGUGACGGUAAUGGGUAAAGAAGCACCGGCUAACUACGUG